CGUUGAUUACGUCCCUGCCCUUUGUACACACCGCCCGUCGCUACUACCGAUUGAAUGGCUUAGUGAGGCUUUCGGAUUGGCUCAGGGAGGUCGGCAACGACAACCCAGAGCCGGAAAGUUGUUCAAACUUGGUCAUUUAGAGGAAGUAAAAGUCGUAACAAGG
This 163-nucleotide ribosomal RNA is filed under the name Collophorina africana. RNAcentral's name for it is "partial small subunit ribosomal RNA". It matches the Rfam family "Eukaryotic small subunit ribosomal RNA", at positions 1639 to 1799 of the family's 1831-position model. The record is from RNAcentral. Lineage: Eukaryota; Fungi; Ascomycota; Leotiomycetes; Phacidiales.